CAGUUAGCUCAGUUGGUAGAGCAACUGACUCUUAAUCAGUGGGUCUAGGGUUCGAAUCCCU
This 61-nucleotide transfer RNA is filed under the name bovine gut metagenome. It matches the Rfam family "tRNA", at positions 8 to 62 of the family's 71-position model. From Rfam's summary of the family: Transfer RNA (tRNA) molecules are approximately 80 nucleotides in length. RNAcentral also lists the same sequence under 1 other name. The record is from RNAcentral.